Molecule: ribosomal RNA, 530 nt
Filed under: Colletotrichum gloeosporioides
Lineage: Eukaryota; Fungi; Ascomycota; Sordariomycetes; Glomerellales; Glomerellaceae
Description: eukaryotic LSU rRNA
Rfam family: 5.8S ribosomal RNA (bases 184-337)
Source: RNAcentral
AGGGAUCAUUACUGAGUUUACGCUCUAUAACCCUUUGUGAACAUACCUAUAACUGUUGCUUCGGCGGGUAGGGUCUCCGUGACCCUCCCGGCCUCCCGCCCCCGGGCGGGUCGGCGCCCGCCGGAGGAUAACCAAACUCUGAUUUAACGACGUUUCUUCUGGGUGGUACAAGCAAAUAAUCAAAACUUUUAACAACGGAUCUCUUGGUUCUGGCAUCGAUGAAGGACGCAGCGAAAUGCGAUAAGUAAUGUGAAUUGCAGAAUUCAGUGAAUCAUCGAAUCUUUGAACGCACAUUGCGCCCGCCAGCAUUCUGGCGGGCAUGCCUGUUCGAGCGUCAUUUCAACCCUCAAGCUCUGCUUGGUGUUGGGGCCCUACAGCUGAUGUAGGCCCUCAAAGGUAGUGGCGGACCCUCCCGGAGCCUCCUUUGCGUAGUAACUUUACGUCUCGCACUGGGAUCCGGAGGGACUCUUGCCGUAAAACCCCCAAUUCUCCAAAGGUUGACCUCGGAUCAGGUAGGAAUACCCGCUGAA